Molecule: ribosomal RNA, 619 nt
Filed under: uncultured Clostridiaceae bacterium
Lineage: Bacteria; Bacillati; Bacillota; Clostridia; Eubacteriales; Clostridiaceae
Description: bacterial SSU rRNA
Rfam family: Bacterial small subunit ribosomal RNA
Source: RNAcentral
GUAACUGACGCUGAGGCGCGAAAGCGUGGGGAGCAAACAGGAUUAGAUACCCCUGGUAGUCCACGCCGUAAACGAUGGAUACUAGGUGUAGGAGGUAUCGACCCUUUCUGUGCCGCAGUUAACACAAUAAGUAUCCCACCUGGGGAGUACGACCGCAAGGUUGAAACUCAAAGGAAUUGACGGGGGCCCGCACAAGCAGUGGAGUAUGUGGUUUAAUUCGAAGCAACGCGAAGAACCUUACCAGGACUUGACAUCCCUCUGACCGCCUUAGAGAUAAGGCUUUCCUUCGGGACAGGGGUGACAGGUGGUGCAUGGUUGUCGUCAGCUCGUGUCGUGAGAUGUUGGGUUAAGUCCCGCAACGAGCGCAACCCCUAUUGCCGGUUGCCAUCAUUAAGUUGGGCACUCCGGCGAGACUGCCGGCGACAAGUCGGAGGAAGGUGGGGAUGACGUCAAAUCAUCAUGCCCCUUAUGUCCUGGGCUACACACGUACUACAAUGGCCGUGACAACGAGAAGCGAAAUCGCGAGGUGGAGCAAAUCUCCAAACACGGUCCCAGUUCAGAUUGCAGGCUGCAACGGAACCUGCAUGAAGGCGGAAUUGCUAGUAAUAGGAGAUCAGCA